UAUGUGAUCGUCUCUCGCAUAUCAAUAAGCGGAGGAAAAGAAACUAACAAGGAUUCCCCUAGUAACGGCGAGUGAAGCGGGAAGAGCUCAAAUUUGAAAUCUUAAAGGGUUUCCCUUUGCGAAUUGUAGUUUAAAGAAGUGUUUUCUGUUGAGGUUUUGGUAAAAGUUCUUUGGAAUAGGACAUCAUAGAGGGUGAGAAUCCCGUAUUUGACCUUUACUUUCAACUUUGUGAUACACUUUCAAAGAGUCGGAUUGUUUGGGAAUGCAGUCCAAAAUGGGUGGUAAAUUUCAUCUAAAGCUAAAUAUUGGCGAGAGACCGAUAGCGAACAAGUACCGUGAGGGAAAGAUGAAAAGAACUUUGAAAAGAGAGUUAAACAGUACGUGAAAUUGUCAAAAGGGAAGCGUUUGACACCAGUGUUGUUUUUCUGAAAAUCAAUUAAAGAACUGUUUAUGCUAAGUUGUUUAGACUUUAUCAGCUAUCUGUUUAGUUUUGAGCUUUUCUUUAAUGCACUUUUCAGUUAACAAGUCAACAUCAAUUUCUUUUGCUGUAAAAAAGCUUGAGGAAGGUGGCUUGAGAUUCGUCUUAAGUGUUUAUAGCCUCUUGCCUAUGCAGUCGGAGAGAUUGAGGUCUGCAGCGUAGAUCCUUCGGGGCUAAAUGCAUUCGUGCUAAGUUAUAGCAUUUUAUAGACAACUUGUUGACUAUGAUUUGUCUUGUAGCUUACUCGCUUAUGUUAUUUUACCUACGCUUAGGAUGUUGAGUAGCGACAUACGCAC
Molecule: ribosomal RNA, 774 nt
Filed under: uncultured Neocallimastigales
Lineage: Eukaryota; Fungi; Neocallimastigomycota; Neocallimastigomycetes; Neocallimastigales
Description: partial large subunit ribosomal RNA
Rfam family: Eukaryotic large subunit ribosomal RNA
Source: RNAcentral